GGACUACACGGGUAUCUAAUCCCGUUUGCUCCCCUGGCUUUCGUGCCUCAGCGUCAGGAAAUGUCCAGAGACUCGCCUUCGCCACUGGUGUUCCGCUCGAUAUCUACGCAUUUCACUGCUACACCGAGCAUUCCAGUCUCCCCUCCAUUCCUCAAGCCGAAUAGUAUCCAAUGCCAUUUCGGAGUUAAGCUCCGAGCUUUCACAUCAGACUUACCCGACCGCCUACGCACCCUUUACGCCCAGUGAAUCCGAACAACGCUUGGGACCUCUGUAUUACCGCGGCUGCUGGCAC
Molecule: ribosomal RNA, 292 nt
Filed under: uncultured Verrucomicrobiota bacterium
Lineage: Bacteria; Pseudomonadati; Verrucomicrobiota
Description: uncultured Verrucomicrobia bacterium partial 16S ribosomal RNA
Source: RNAcentral